UACAGAGGUCUCAAGCGUUGUUCGGAUUCAUUGGGCGUAAAGGGUGCGUAGGUGGCGCCGUAAGUCGGAUGUGAAAUUUCGGAGCUUAACUCCGAAACUGCAUUCGAUACUGCGGUGCUUGAGGACUGGAGAGGAGACUGGAAUUCAUGGUGUAGCAGUGAAAUGCGUAGAGAUCAUGAGGAAGACCAGUGGCGAAGGCGGGUCUCUGGACAGUUCCUGACACUGAGGCACGAAGGCCAGGGGAGCAAACAGG
This 253-nucleotide ribosomal RNA is filed under the name uncultured bacterium. Its description in RNAcentral is "partial 16S ribosomal RNA". It matches the Rfam family "Bacterial small subunit ribosomal RNA", at positions 524 to 776 of the family's 1533-position model. The record is from RNAcentral.